UUGCCUCUCUUCUUCAACCAUCUUCGUAUUUAUAUCUUCUUCUUCACUAUGCAUACCCAUAAACUUUGCUAAUGGCCGCAUUUCUCUUUUCUCCUUCGACUCUUCUAAUUUUUACUUUGGUUUUUGACGUGGAAAUUAUUAUAUGGUAAGUGUUUCUCAAGGAUCCAAUUGUUCUCUCCGGUAAAUUAACAUUUUUUUUUGUGUCGAUCGAUAGUCACUUUUGGUUUUGUUUCUUGGUUUUCUGGAGCUAAGUGGAGAUAAUAGUCGAACAAGAGUGAUUUUAUGUAAGGUAACGCGAGAUAUUAGUGCGGUUCAAUCAAAUAGUCGUCCUCUUAACUCAUGGAGAUCGGUGUUGUUCGAUUGAGCCGUGCCAAUAUCACGCGGUAAACCAAAAUGGCAAAGAUCGAUCGUUAUCAUAACCUUUGAAGGUAUCAGGCUUCGAAGGUAUAGAAACAAGCAACACAAAACCCAAAAUCUAAGUACAACUGCGAUUUGAACUUCUAUUUUUAGCAAGUAUUUAAGGGAGUAAAAGUACUAGCUAGAAAGUAAAACUAUAUUUUGCUUUACUAUCGUAAUGAUAUUGCAACAAACCAAAAACUAUUAAGUGUUUAAUUUGUAAUUAACUAUCUACACCUUUUGUCUAUAAUUUAGCUGUGGAAUGAUUUCUCUUAUUUGUUAUUUAAAUAAAGGUGUAUGUUUAUACGCUUGUUGUUAAUAAUCUUACGAAAACCAGGAAGUCUGUUUUGGACUUAUCCUCUCAAAUAAGGUUAAAUUUAUGAAA
Molecule: long non-coding RNA, 781 nt
Organism: Arabidopsis lyrata subsp. lyrata
Lineage: Eukaryota; Viridiplantae; Streptophyta; Magnoliopsida; Brassicales; Brassicaceae
Exons: 2
Source: RefSeq, a predicted model, not a curated record